UCAAAACAAACAUGACCAGACGAAAGCUCCAAGAUGUAACAAUUAUGUUCACAACAGAUUUGUAUCUUACCCUCAAAGAUUCUCUCUGUGCUGCAUGGCCAUAGCCCCUGAAGAACCUUCCAGAAACCCCAAGCUGCUCGGAGCACCAUCUGAAACACAGUCCCUCCCCUUCCACUUUACAACCAGAGGAAACUGAGACCCAGACAGCCAAUGACACUCGCCUGAGGUCCCAGCUUACGGUUCUUCUACCUGAAGGAGACAAGUGAUGGCAUGGAAGUAAGACAGACCCGGUGGACCAGGGAAGAGGCAGGAAGACCCGCCCUGAUUGAUGCCAAGCACGGGAUAGCUAUAGAUGCCCAACCUGGGCCUGAUGAUUAGCUGGAGGAAACAGAGGCACCCAGUGAACCUGUCAGCAUUUUCUAUCACUUUUCUGGAACCUAGGAAAGGAUAUCUUAUUGUUGUUCAGUUGCUCAGUCACAUCUGACUUUUUGUAACCCCAUGGAUUGCAG
Non-coding RNA from Odocoileus virginianus texanus, 509 nucleotides. Lineage: Eukaryota; Metazoa; Chordata; Mammalia; Artiodactyla; Cervidae. The record is from RefSeq and is a predicted model, not a curated record.